UGGGCAGUUGGAAAUGGUGGGACUGAGUUUGAAAACAAUUUUCUCCAGCACCGCUUUUGGCGUUUCCAUUCUCUGCUUAAUGCCUGAGCCUGAGCGGCUUUGCCUGACCAGUGAUCAUCCCCCAAUCUCCAAUAUCCGGUCAUGGCUUCAUUCAACGGCAUUAACUAGCGGCGCAACUCUCACGACCUCAUCACCUGUUUUGGUGAUCAGAGGCAUACGGCACCCACCAGGCGACAGCAAGUACGGUGUCCCUCUUGUCUUUCAGAUUCUACCCUUUUGCUUCUGUUGGAGAAAAAAAGCUUGGAGCUUUGAGGCCAAGGUUGUGCCACGUUACCCGUAUGGAAUAAAGCGGGAAGAUAACGAGGAAGAGCCAAAGAGUGAACCUUAUGCUUCAGAAAGAAACUGAUAAUAUAUUAAAUGCACCCGGGGGAGAGAGAGAGAGAAGCCCUUUAUUAUUUUUAUUGAAAGGAAUGGUGUGGGUUUUUUGUGGAGCUGUUGUCUUCGUUUCUGCUUCGAAAAAUAAAGAAAAUUUUUUGAGGCUGUCGUAUUUCUCAACAGAGUGUAACUAAAGCCUCGUUGUGUUCUGUGGUUAUAUUUUCAAGUUGGUUCAGCAGGAAGAGGAAGAUCCUUUCUUGGUGAUGGUGCUUGGUCAUAUCUCUCUCUAGCCUAGGGCAUAGGGAGAUAGCUUUUGCAUUUGAGAAGCUGAGUUAUUGGGCUAUGGAUUGAUGAGAAGUUGAGUUCUUUUUGGUUGUCCAUGGAAAUGAGGUUUUGAUUGAAAUGUUAACAGUGGAAAUGAGGGAGUUUCCAUUUCUUGGAUGCUUUUAUUCUGGCUUUCAUGCAGCUCUAGGGGGUUGACCAUGGAGGAUUUUUCUGGGUCUUCUUUGCAGAAGUCUGAUAAUACUAGGGGAUUAAGUACAUCCAGAGUCUCAGAUUGGAAUCCAAGACCUGCAUCUCGUUAUUCUAGGUUUAGAAAGGAGACUGAUAGGGUUGUGCUGGCGCGCCAUAACCUCAAAAACCAGGUUAGUUCUUUUGGGGGUUACAAGGAUGAAGCUGCUGUUGACCCUUUUGCCCGAACCUUAGAAUGGGGUGAUGUUAGCUUGAGGCAGUGGUUGGACAAACCUGAAAGAUCCGUUGAUGUAUUUGAAUGUUUACAUAUAUUUAGGCAAAUAGUUGAGAUUGUAAAUGUUGCACACUCACAAGGAAUUGUUGUUCAUAAUGUUCGGCCAUCUUGCUUCAUAAUGACAUCAUUUAACCAUGUCUCUUUCAUUGAGUCUGCUUCUUGUUCGGAUUCUGGGUCAGAUUCUUUAGAAGAUGGACCGAACAGCCAAACCUUGGAGAUUAAAAGUUCAUCUUCUCCCUUGCCUAAUGACACGUUUCAGCAAAGUAGUAGGUUGGGAAGUGAAGAUUUUCGACCUGCAUCAACUCCAAAAAAUGCUUCAUCUGAAGCCAGUUGCAUUCAAUCAAGUUCAGUUCAUGCCACAAAUGUACCUUUUGGGGAGGACACUGAAGAUAAAAUCAGUGAUAGGAGGAAGGCUGAACAAGAAGAAGAAGAAAGGAAACAGCCUUUUCCAAUGAAGCAGAUUUUGCUCAUGGAGACCAGUUGGUACACUAGUCCUGAAGAGAUUGCUGGUUCACCAAGCACUUGUGCUUCAGAUAUCUACAGACUGGGAGUUCUGCUAUUUGAGUUGUUCUGCCCCUUCAGCUCAAGAGAAGACAAGAGAAGAACUAUGUCUAGUCUGAGACAUCGGAUUCUUCCUCCUCAGUUGUUACUGAAAUGGCCAAAAGAAGCUUCAUUUUGCCUGUGGUUGUUGCACCCAGAGCCUGCUAGUCGGCCAAAAAUGGGUGAGUUGUUACAAAGCGAGUUCCUUAAUGAACCAAGAGAUAAUUUGGAAGAACGCGAAGCAGCAAUUCAACUUAGGGAGAGAAUAGAGGAGCAGGAAUCAUUGCUGGAAUUCCUUCUGCUGAUACAGCAAAGAAAACAGGAAGCUGCUGAUAAGUUGCAAGAUACUGUUUCCCUUCUGUGUUCUGAUAUUGAAGAAGUUAUGGUACAUCAAACAUUUCUUAUGAAAAAAGGAGGCUCAUGUUCUGAAAGAACGAAAGAUGAUAAUUUAGCAUCAAAUCUCCCUCAAUUGAGUAUUGUUGAUAAUGAUGAGUCAUCUAGCUUGGUUUCUAGAAAGCGAUUUCGACCAGGCAUUCAGAUUCUUGAUGUAGAGGAAUGUGAUGAUAAUCUAGAUGAUGGUCAGAACUCAGAUAUGAUCACAGAAACUCAAGGAAGUCUACUCUUCAAAAGUUCACGGUUGAUGAACAAUUUUAAGCAAUUAGAGUCGGCAUAUUUUUUGACAAGAUGCAGGCCAGUAAGACCAUCAGGGAAACCAUUUACUAGGCAUUCACCAAUGAGUAGUGAUGGGAGAGGUUCUAUUGUUGUUACUGAAAGAAGCUCCAUUGAUAACUUAGCACCAAAAGAGCUGUACAUUGAGAGUAGGAGGGGAUGGAUAAGUCCAUUUCUAGAGGGCUUUUGCAAAUACUUAUCUUUCAGCAAGUUAAAAGUUAAGGCUGAUUUGAAACAAGGCGAUUUGUUAAACUCUUCAAACCUAGUUUGCUCCCUUAGUUUUGAUCGUGAUGGAGAAUUUUUUGCUACAGCUGGUGUGAAUAAGAAGAUAAAAGUAUUUGAAUGUGAUGCGGCUAUAAAUGAAAAUCGUGAUAUACACUAUCCUGUUGUGGAGAUGGCUAGCAGGUCAAAACUAAGCAGUGUGUGCUGGAACAGUUACAUUAAAAGCCAGAUUGCCUCUAGUAACUUUGAAGGUGUGGUGCAGGUGUGGGAUGUCACAAGAAGUCAAGUACUAACAGAAAUGAGAGAACAUGAGAGGCGUGUAUGGUCUAUUGACUUUUCAUCAGCGGAUCCAACAAUGUUAGCUAGCGGGAGUGAUGAUUGUUCUGUUAAGCUCUGGAAUAUCGAUCAGGCAAUUCUAUUCUUGCACUUGGUGGAUGUCAGCUUUGAAACUAAACGGAGUAAGUAUUGGUACAAUCAGAACAAAGGCUAAUGUCUGCUCUGUUCAAUUUCCCUUGGAAUCUAGCCGUUUUCUUGCAUUUGGUUCAGCAGAUCAUAGAAUUUAUUAUUAUGAUCUUCGUAACUCAAAAGUUCCGUUAUGCACAUUGGUUGGACACAAUAAAACUGUGAGUUAUGUGAGGUUUGUAGACCCAACAAAUCUUGUUUCUGCAUCCACGGAUAACACAUUAAAGCUCUGGGAUUUGUCAAUGUGUACAUCUCGGGUUAUUGAUACUCCCCUUCAAUCAUUCACGGGCCACAUGAACAUUAAGAACUUUGUGGGUUUGUCAGUAUCAGAUGGUUAUAUUGCAACUGGCUCAGAAACAAAUGAGGUAUUCAUCUACCAUAAAGCUUUCCCCAUGCCAGCAUUGUCAUUCAAGUUCAACAACACCGAUCCGCUUUCAGGUCAAGAAAUGGAUGAUCCUGCUCAGUUUAUUUCAUCUGUCUGCUGGCGAGCCCAGUCGUCUACCUUAGUUGCUGCGAAUUCUACUGGGAAUAUCAAAAUUUUGGAGAUGGUUUGAUUUGGUAUGUGAUCUUCAAACCACAAAUGGAAGUUUAUGAAAAGAAACAAGACAAUGAGGACAAUAAUCUUGCAUCUUAGGGAAUUCUGAAGCUAAGGUAAGGUAAAUGAUAAGGGAACUGGAAGGCUGCAAUUAAAAUUACAAUUUUUCUUGGGAUUAGAUCAUAGAGUAUGCAGUUAAUGCAAUGAGAUACUGCUCAGGAUCCAAAUGUACUAUAGACAAAUUCAGGGGGAGAGAAAAAAAAAGAAAAAAAAAAGAGAAUUAAAAAAAUAUAUACUUUUUCCCCUGUAUACUUUUGCAAUGCUUAUGUCAUUUUUUACAAUGUCUUCCUUGAA
Molecule: RNA transcript, 3902 nt
Organism: Manihot esculenta (cassava)
Lineage: Eukaryota; Viridiplantae; Streptophyta; Magnoliopsida; Malpighiales; Euphorbiaceae
Gene name: protein SPA1-RELATED 3
Exons: 9
Source: RefSeq, a predicted model, not a curated record